GUGUCAGCCGCCGCGGUAAGACGAACCGUGCGAACGUUGUUCGGAAUCACUGGGCAUAAAGGGCGCGUAGGCGGGCGUCAAAGUCAGAGGUGAAAUCCCCCAGCUCAACUGGGGAACUGCCUUUGAUACUGGACGUCUCGAGUGAGGUAGGGGCGUGCGGAACUGAUGGUGGAGCGGUGAAAUGUGUUGAUAUCAUCAGGAACUCCGGUGGCGAAAGCGGCACGCUGGACCUUUACUGACGCUGAGGCGCGAAAGCCAGGGGAGCGAACGGGAUUAGAAACCCGCGUAGUCC
RNAcentral lists this ribosomal RNA (292 nucleotides) under uncultured bacterium. RNAcentral describes it as "partial 16S ribosomal RNA". It matches the Rfam family "Bacterial small subunit ribosomal RNA", at positions 505 to 796 of the family's 1533-position model. The record is from RNAcentral.